ACUACAAAAACACAAACCAAGCUUCUUCUUGAUUCUCAAAGCUUUGAUGGUGAAGCCGAAGUUCUUAUGAGUUUUUUGGUUUUGAAUCGUAUAACAAGGGAGC
This 103-nucleotide small RNA is filed under the name Arabidopsis thaliana (thale cress). Its description in RNAcentral is "ATSL038120". The record is from RNAcentral. Lineage: Eukaryota; Viridiplantae; Streptophyta; Magnoliopsida; Brassicales; Brassicaceae.